CGUUGGGCUAGUAAUCCUGCUCAGUACUAGAGGAACCGCAGGUUCGGACACUUGGUACAUGUGCCUGGUCGAGUGACCAGUGAUACGAAGCUACCAUCCGUGGAAUUACGACUGAACGCCUCUAAGUCAGAAUCCCACCUAAUGAGUGCAACG
This 153-nucleotide non-coding RNA is filed under the name Stegodyphus mimosarum. Its description in RNAcentral is "Eukaryotic large subunit ribosomal RNA". It matches the Rfam family "Eukaryotic large subunit ribosomal RNA", at positions 3009 to 3159 of the family's 3401-position model. Lineage: Eukaryota; Metazoa; Arthropoda; Arachnida; Araneae; Eresidae. The record is from Rfam by way of RNAcentral.